This 75-nucleotide antisense RNA is filed under the name Salinispora arenicola. RNAcentral's name for it is "ASpks TB sRNA". It matches the Rfam family "ASpks TB sRNA". RNAcentral also lists the same sequence under 1 other name. The record is from RNAcentral. Lineage: Bacteria; Bacillati; Actinomycetota; Actinomycetes; Micromonosporales; Micromonosporaceae.
CUUCAGCGAGCCGAGCCACAGCGGUUGAUCCCCGUUGCGCUCCUGGCCGUACGUGGAAAGCAGCGCCCCGGCCUC